Molecule: long non-coding RNA, 528 nt
Organism: Gallus gallus (chicken)
Lineage: Eukaryota; Metazoa; Chordata; Aves; Galliformes; Phasianidae
Exons: 3
Source: RefSeq, a predicted model, not a curated record
AGGUCAUGCAUAUGGCAAAAAGUGAGUGAGUACCAGUGGCUGUGUGUUGAUUUACCAUCGGCAUCAGAGCUUACACCAUCCAACCUGGAAACCCAACUGUGUGCUCCAUCCAUCACCAACCCAGAGCCAGCCCCCACUGCAUCCCCAGUAGCCCUGCAGGCAGCAGCAGGCAGCAUCCACCAGGAGUUAGGUGCUGCUGGAGCAAGCCCAGAGAGCUUUGCACUCCUGAGGACUCCAGAAAAAUUCCAUCAUUUGUGAAGACAGUCACAGAGAUAGGACAUCAGAUGGUCUGGUCCUGCUGAAUGUGCCUGGGCUGCUCUACCUCUCCCUGACACUGUAGUUAUUCAGAGAGAAGGCAAAGAAGGUUCUGUGUGCAGACCUUCAAAGACUGUGGGUAUGCCUAACUGUAUUCAUGUUAGGUGCCCUUUGACUUCAGCCACAACAGAGGUGAUCCCAUCGCAAGUGAAGGAAACUUCCACAAGGAUAGCUAUGUUAAAAAAAAUAAAUAAAUUAGAAAAUUAAAAUAAA